CCUACGGGAGGCAGCAGUGAGGAAUAUUGGUCAAUGGACGAGAGUCUGAACCAGCCAAGUCGCGUGAAGGAUGACUGCCCUAUGGGUUGUAAACUUCUUUUAUAUGGGAAUAAAAUGUUCCACGUGUGGGAUUUUGUAUGUACCAUAUGAAUAAGGAUCGGCUAACUCCGUGCCCGCAGCCGCGGUAAUACGGAGGAUCCGAGCGUUAUCCGGAUUUAUUGGGUUUAAAGGGAGCGGAGGUGGAUUGUUAAGUCAGUUGUGAAAGUUUGGGGCUCAAACGUAAUAUUGCAGUUGAAACUGGGGGUCUGGAGUGCAGGAGAGGAGGGCGGAAUGCGUGGUGUAGCGGUGAAAUGCGUAGA
Molecule: ribosomal RNA, 359 nt
Filed under: uncultured bacterium
Lineage: Bacteria
Description: partial 16S ribosomal RNA
Rfam family: Bacterial small subunit ribosomal RNA
Source: RNAcentral